Molecule: long non-coding RNA, 415 nt
Filed under: Sander lucioperca (pikeperch)
Lineage: Eukaryota; Metazoa; Chordata; Actinopteri; Perciformes; Percidae
Description: lncRNA (ENSSLUG00000010093.1)
Source: RNAcentral
AAUAAGUGCCUACCACUGAUGCACAAAAUUAUCACAAACUGAGUCUAAUUUUUUUCUGUCUGAUUUAGGGUGAAGUUGCUAAGGAUGUGGACAUGGAUGUGUAUGACAUGCCACAAGGAUCAAAGAACAUGCAUUUUCUGAAGUAUAUCGUGUAUUACUUCUUGAAUACGGCCUCAGAUUGCUGCCUAAACUAAAGGUUUAUAAAAUCCCAUGGAAUAUGAGAGCUUCAGAGUAAUACGAGGCGCCUGGCAACAGCAGCUGGGAGCUCCGUGGAAACCAUUGUGUUCCUGUGUGAAGGUAGGUCUGGACCAUGUUCUGUCACUCAGCCAUGCCCAGCAACAUUCACCUUUUGAAUGAGUUGAUAAUCCUUUCAUAUUUACUGCUCAUUAUUGAUGUGUGCGUCGUUAAUUUAAAG